CCCUUAGAUGUUCUGGGCAGCACGCGCGCUACAAUGGUCUUCGCAAACGGAUGCAUUCUCGAAGGAGAAUGCCAAUCUUGGAAUCUAUGCCUUGGUCGGGACAGUUGCUUGCAAUUUUUCGACUCGAACCAGGAAUUCCUUGUAAUCGUGAUUCAUCACAUCACGAUGAAUACGUCCCUGCCCAUUGUACACACCGCCCGUCGCUCCUACCGAUCGAAGAGUUAGGUGAAUUGUUUUGAUCGAUAAGAUUUGACUAUGGUCAACUCUCGUUGUGAAAUUCUGUGAAUCUGACUGUUUAGAGGAAGGAAAAGUCGUAACA
Molecule: ribosomal RNA, 319 nt
Filed under: uncultured eukaryote
Lineage: Eukaryota
Description: partial 18S ribosomal RNA
Rfam family: Eukaryotic small subunit ribosomal RNA
Source: RNAcentral